RNAcentral lists this non-coding RNA (26 nucleotides) under Homo sapiens (human). Lineage: Eukaryota; Metazoa; Chordata; Mammalia; Primates; Hominidae. The record is from RNAcentral.
UCUCAAGAACGAUGACCUUUGGCCGC